This 1372-nucleotide ribosomal RNA is filed under the name uncultured bacterium. Its description in RNAcentral is "bacterial SSU rRNA". It matches the Rfam family "Bacterial small subunit ribosomal RNA", at positions 28 to 1381 of the family's 1533-position model. The record is from RNAcentral.
GAUGAACGCUGGCGGCGUGCCUAAUACAUGCAAGUCGAGCGAACGGACGAGAAGCUUGCUUCUCUGAUGUUAGCGGCGGACGGGUGAGUAACACGUGGAUAACCUACCUAUAAGACUGGGAUAACUUCGGGAAACCGGAGCUAAUACCGGAUAAUAUUUUGAACCGCAUGGUUCAAAAGUGAAAGACGGUCUUGCUGUCACUUAUAGAUGGAUCCGCGCUGCAUUAGCUAGUUGGUAAGGUAACGGCUUACCAAGGCAACGAUGCAUAGCCGACCUGAGAGGGUGAUCGGCCACACUGGAACUGAGACACGGUCCAGACUCCUACGGGAGGCAGCAGUAGGGAAUCUUCCGCAAUGGGCGAAAGCCUGACGGAGCAACGCCGCGUGAGUGAUGAAGGUCUUCGGAUCGUAAAACUCUGUUAUUAGGGAAGAACAUAUGUGUAAGUAACUGUGCACAUCUUGACGGUACCUAAUCAGAAAGCCACGGCUAACUACGUGCCAGCAGCCGCGGUAAUACGUAGGUGGCAAGCGUUAUCCGGAAUUAUUGGGCGUAAAGCGCGCGUAGGCGGUUUUUUAAGUCUGAUGUGAAAGCCCACGGCUCAACCGUGGAGGGUCAUUGGAAACUGGAAAACUUGAGUGCAGAAGAGGAAAGUGGAAUUCCAUGUGUAGCGGUGAAAUGCGCAGAGAUAUGGAGGAACACCAGUGGCGAAGGCGACUUUCUGGUCUGUAACUGACGCUGAUGUGCGAAAGCGUGGGGAUCAAACAGGAUUAGAUACCCUGGUAGUCCACGUCGUAAACGAUGAGUGCUAAGUGUUAGGGGGUUUCCGCCCCUUAGUGCUGCAGCUAACGCAUUAAGCACUCCGCCUGGGGAGUACGACCGCAAGGUUGAAACUCAAAGGAAUUGACGGGGACCCGCACAAGCGGUGGAGCAUGUGGUUUAAUUCGAAGCAACGCGAAGAACCUUACCAAAUCUUGACAUCCUUUGACAACUCUAGAGAUAGAGCCUUCCCCUUCGGGGGACAAAGUGACAGGUGGUGCAUGGUUGUCGUCAGCUCGUGUCGUGAGAUGUUGGGUUAAGUCCCGCAACGAGCGCAACCCUUAAGCUUAGUUGCCAUCAUUAAGUUGGGCACUCUAAGUUGACUGCCGGUGACAAACCGGAGGAAGGUGGGGAUGACGUCAAAUCAUCAUGCCCCUUAUGAUUUGGGCUACACACGUGCUACAAUGGACAAUACAAAGGGCAGCGAAACCGCGAGGUCAAGCAAAUCCCAUAAAGUUGUUCUCAGUUCGGAUUGUAGUCUGCAACUCGACUACAUGAAGCUGGAAUCGCUAGUAAUCGUAGAUCAGCAUGCUACGGUGAAUACGUUCCCGGGUCU